UACGUAGGGGGCUAGCGUUGUCCGGCAUCAUUGGGCGUAAAGAGCGUGUAGGCGGCCCGGUAAGUCCGCUGUGAAAGUCGGGGGCUCAACCCUCGAAUGCCGGUGGAUACUGUCGGGCUAGAGUGCGGAAGAGGCGAGUGGAAUUCCUGGUGUAGCGGUGAAAUGCGCAGAUAUCAGGAGGAACACCAAUUGCGAAGGCAGCUCGCUGGGACGUAACUGACGCUGAGACGCGAAAGCGUGGGGAGCAAACAGG
RNAcentral lists this ribosomal RNA (253 nucleotides) under uncultured bacterium. RNAcentral describes it as "partial 16S ribosomal RNA". It matches the Rfam family "Bacterial small subunit ribosomal RNA", at positions 524 to 776 of the family's 1533-position model. The record is from RNAcentral.